CAUCUUGCCAGGGUGUUGGGGUGUCGUGCCGGGGUGUCAGGGCGUUUUGCCGGGGUGUCGGGGUGAGGUGUCGGGAUGUCACCUUCUUGUUCUUCUUCUUCUUCCUUAUUUUCCUGUUUCCUGUUCUUAUUCUUCUUCUUCUUCUUCCUUCUUUUCCUUUUUCAUCUUCUUUCUUCUUCUCUUCUCUCUUCUUCUUCUUCUUNNNNNNNUUCUUCUUCUUCUUCUCCUUCUUGUUCUUCUUCUUGUUCUUGUUCUUGUUCUUGUUCUUGUUCUUCUUCUUAUUUUUUCUCCUCCUCCUCCUCCUCCUCUUCUUCUCCUUC
This 320-nucleotide long non-coding RNA is filed under the name Hordeum vulgare. RNAcentral's name for it is "long non-coding RNA (HVUL_LNC015300)". Lineage: Eukaryota; Viridiplantae; Streptophyta; Magnoliopsida; Poales; Poaceae. The record is from RNAcentral.